UACGGAGGGUGCAAACGUUGCUCAGAAUCAUUGGGCGUAAAGCGCACGUAGGCGGACUGUUAAGUCGGAUGUGAAAUCCCUCAGCUUAACUGAGGAAGUGCAUUCGAAACUGGCAGUCUUGAGUAUGGAAGAGGGUCGCGGAAUUCCCGGUGUAGAGGUGAAAUUCGUAGAUAUUGGGAAGAACACCGGUGGCGAAGGCGGCUCUCUGGACCGAUACUGACGCUGAGGCGCGAAAGCGUGGGGAGCAAACAGG
RNAcentral lists this ribosomal RNA (253 nucleotides) under uncultured bacterium. RNAcentral describes it as "partial 16S ribosomal RNA". It matches the Rfam family "Bacterial small subunit ribosomal RNA", at positions 524 to 776 of the family's 1533-position model. The record is from RNAcentral.